AUUGAACGCUGGCGGCAUGCUUUACACAUGCAAGUCGAACGGUAACAGGCCUUCGGGUGCUGACGAGUGGCGAACGGGUGAGUAAUGCAUCGGAACGUGCCCAAUCGUGGGGGAUAACGUAGCGAAAGUUACGCUAAUACCGCAUAAGCCCUGAGGGGGAAAGCAGGGGAUCGCAAGACCUUGCGCGAAUGGAGCGGCCGAUGUCAGAUUAGCUAGUUGGUGGGGUAAAGGCCUACCAAGGCGACGAUCUGUAGCGGGUCUGAGAGGAUGAUCCGCCACACUGGGACUGAGACACGGCCCAGACUCCUACGGGAGGCAGCAGUGGGGAAUUUUGGACAAUGGGCGCAAGCCUGAUCCAGCCAUGCCGCGUGCGGGACGAAGGCCUCGGUUGUAAA
RNAcentral lists this ribosomal RNA (395 nucleotides) under uncultured bacterium. RNAcentral's name for it is "bacterial SSU rRNA". It matches the Rfam family "Bacterial small subunit ribosomal RNA", at positions 29 to 429 of the family's 1533-position model. The record is from RNAcentral.